RNAcentral lists this ribosomal RNA (253 nucleotides) under uncultured bacterium. RNAcentral describes it as "partial 16S ribosomal RNA". It matches the Rfam family "Bacterial small subunit ribosomal RNA", at positions 524 to 776 of the family's 1533-position model. The record is from RNAcentral.
UACGUAGGGUGCAAGCGUUGUCCGGAUUUACUGGGCGUAAAGAGCGCGCAGGCGGUCGUUCAAGUCGCGUGUGAAAUCUCCCGGCUCAACUGGGAGGGUGCACCGGAAACUGGAGUGCUCGAGUAUGGGAGAGGAAAGCGGAAUUCCUGGUGUAGCGGUGAAAUGCGUAGAUAUCAGGAGGAACACCCGUGGUGUAGACAGCUUUCUGGACCAUGACUGACGCUGAGACACGAAAGCGUGGGGAGCAAACAGG